This 74-nucleotide transfer RNA is filed under the name Terriglobus roseus. Its description in RNAcentral is "tRNA_Arg_CCG". It matches the Rfam family "tRNA". Rfam says of the family: Transfer RNA (tRNA) molecules are approximately 80 nucleotides in length. Their secondary structure includes four short double-helical elements and three loops (D, anti-codon, and T loops). Lineage: Bacteria; Pseudomonadati; Acidobacteriota; Terriglobia; Terriglobales; Acidobacteriaceae. RNAcentral also lists the same sequence under 1 other name. The record is from RNAcentral.
GCACCCGUAGCUCAGCUGGAUAGAGCGGCAGCCUCCGAAGCUGUAGGUCAGAGGUUCGAAUCCUCUCGGGUGCA